AGAGUUUGAUCCUGGCUCAGGACGAACGCUGGCGGCGUGCCUAACACAUGCAAGUCGAGCGGAGACAGUGAGUAGCUUGCUAUGAACUGUUUUAGCGGCGGACGGGUGAGUGACGCGUGAGCAACCUUUCCCAGACAGGGGAAUAACACACCGAAAGGUGUACUAAUACCGCAUAAGACCACGGGAUCACAUGGUUCUGGGGUAAAAGAUUUUAGUCGGGUUUGGGGUGGGCUCGCGUCCGAUUAGGUAGUUGGUGAGGUAACGG
Molecule: ribosomal RNA, 265 nt
Filed under: uncultured bacterium
Lineage: Bacteria
Description: partial 16S ribosomal RNA
Rfam family: Bacterial small subunit ribosomal RNA
Source: RNAcentral